GUGGGUACAGCUCAGUGGUAGAGCAUAUGUUUGCAUGCACGAGGUCCUGGGUUUAAUCCCCAGUAUCUCCA
RNAcentral lists this transfer RNA (71 nucleotides) under Camelus bactrianus (Bactrian camel). It matches the Rfam family "tRNA". From Rfam's summary of the family: Transfer RNA (tRNA) molecules are approximately 80 nucleotides in length. Their secondary structure includes four short double-helical elements and three loops (D, anti-codon, and T loops). The record is from Rfam by way of RNAcentral. Lineage: Eukaryota; Metazoa; Chordata; Mammalia; Artiodactyla; Camelidae. RNAcentral also lists the same sequence under 2 other names.